AUUGAACGCUGGCGGCAGGCCUAACACAUGCAAGUCGAGCGGAUGAAGGGAGCUUGCUCCUGGAUUCAGCGGCGGACGGGUGAGUAAUGCCUAGGAAUCUGCCUGGUAGUGGGGGAUAACGUCCGGAAACGGGCGCUAAUACCGCAUACGUCCUGAGGGAGAAAGUGGGGGAUCUUCGGACCUCACGCUAUCAGAUGAGCCUAGGUCGGAUUAGCUAGUUGGUGGGGUAAAGGCCUACCAAGGCGACGAUCCGUAACUGGUCUGAGAGGAUGAUCAGUCACACUGGAACUGAGACACGGUCCAGGCUCCUACGGGAGGCAGCAGUGGGGAAUAUUGGACAAUGGGAGAAAGCCUGAUCCAGCCAUGCCGCGUGUGUGAAGAAGGUCUUCGGAUUGUAAAGCACUUUAAGUUGGGAGGAAGGGCAGUAAGUUAAUACCUUGCUGUUUUGACGUUACCAACAGAAUAAGCACCGGCUAACUUCGUG
This 484-nucleotide ribosomal RNA is filed under the name uncultured bacterium. Its description in RNAcentral is "partial 16S ribosomal RNA". It matches the Rfam family "Bacterial small subunit ribosomal RNA", at positions 30 to 507 of the family's 1533-position model. The record is from RNAcentral.